RNAcentral lists this ribosomal RNA (516 nucleotides) under uncultured Acidobacteriota bacterium. RNAcentral describes it as "bacterial SSU rRNA". It matches the Rfam family "Bacterial small subunit ribosomal RNA", at positions 355 to 864 of the family's 1533-position model. The record is from RNAcentral. Lineage: Bacteria; Pseudomonadati; Acidobacteriota.
UCGGGAAUUUUGGGCAAUGGGCGAAAGCCUGACCCAGCAACGCCGCGUGAAGGAUGAAAUCCUUCGGGAUGUAAACUUCGCAAGAACAGGAAGAAUAAGUAAGAGUUAAUAUCUCUUACGAUGACGGUACUGUUUGUAAGCUCCGGCUAACUCCGUGCCAGCAGCCGCGGUAAUACGGGGGGAGCAAGCGUUGUUCGGAUUUACUGGGCGUAAAGGGCGCGUAGGCGGCCACCGCAAGUCGACUGUGAAAUCUCCGGGCUUAACCCGGAAAGGUCAGCCGAUACUGCGGGGCUAGAGUGCAGAAGGGGCAACUGGAAUUCUCGGUGUAGCGGUGAAAUGCGUAGAUAUCGAGAGGAACACCUGCGGCGAAGGCGGGUUGCUGGGCUGACACUGACGCUGAUGCGCGAAAGCUAGGGGAGCGAACGGGAUUAGAUACCCCGGUAGUCCUAGCCUUAAACGAUGAAUGCUUGGUGUCUGGGGUUUAUAGUCCCCGGGUGCCGUCGCUAACGCUUUAAG